CUCAACAAUAGUUCUCCAAUCGCACUUCGAGCAGCCUUGUUCUAACACUGAUCCCUCUGCUGAGAUCAGGCAAGUGAAUGAGAAGAAUGAAAAAUAAGCACCAUGUUCCAGUGAAGCGUUGUAACUAUGAGCAGGGACUCACGUGUGAGGGGUCAGAGUCCAUACGUGUUCACAGCAAUGUCAAGGGUAUCACUUAAACUUUCAGUCCCUGAUUUUCACUGCAAGAGGACUAACAUAAAAGAAGACUGGAUUUGAUUCCCUACUGUGUGAGCAGAAAGAUCCUAAUCUGUCUGGAUGCUGAGCAAGUUCUCUGCACAUAGUUGAUGGUGAAGACAUGCUUGUUGGGUGAAAAAAAUGGGUCAUCAGUAAACAGGGCAUUUCAAUACUUUCCAAUUCUAAUUCAAGGCAACAGAGGAAGGUAGAGAUAUAAAGUUCUCUUAAUAUGGAAUUCAGUGAGAAGAAUAACAAUUAUUUUCCAGGAACCCUAAAAUAGUGGAGGGUUUGAAAAUCCUAGUUGAGCACUUAAGCCAGUUAUAAAAACCUUAGAUUUUCAACCAGCUUUAACAAUCCUAAAGAAAGUGUGUCCCA
Molecule: long non-coding RNA, 588 nt
Organism: Lagenorhynchus albirostris (white-beaked dolphin)
Lineage: Eukaryota; Metazoa; Chordata; Mammalia; Artiodactyla; Delphinidae
Exons: 3
Source: RefSeq, a predicted model, not a curated record